This 468-nucleotide ribosomal RNA is filed under the name uncultured bacterium. RNAcentral's name for it is "partial 16S ribosomal RNA". It matches the Rfam family "Bacterial small subunit ribosomal RNA", at positions 28 to 507 of the family's 1533-position model. The record is from RNAcentral.
GACGAACGCUGGCGGCGUGCUUAACACAUGCAAGUCGAACGGAAAGGCCCUGCUUUUGCGGGGUUCUCGAUUGGCGAACGGGUGUGUAACACGUGAGUAUCCUGCCCUUGCCUUUGUGAUAACUCCACGGAACUGGGGCUAAUACCCCAUCUGAUCUCCUGCUGCAUGUUGUGGGUUGGUAAGUUUCGGCGGUUGGGGAUGGACUCGCGGCUUAUCAGCUUGUUGGUGGGGUAGUGGCUUACCAAGGCUUUGACGGGUAGCCGGCCUGAGAGGGUGACCGGGCACAAUGGGACUGAGAUACGGCCCAGACUCCUAGGGGAGGCAGCAGUGGGGAAUAUUGCACAAUGGGCGGAAGCCUGAUGCAGCAACGCCGAGUGCGGGAUGACGGCCUUCGGGUUGUAAACCGCUUUCGCCUGUGACGAAGCGAGAGUGACGGUAAUGGGUAAAGAAGCACCGGCUAACUACGUG